AUACCUGUCACGACCCAAAUUGGAGGGCCGCAACGGGCACCUGGUACCUUACCCAACAGAGUACUAACGUGACGUAUUCUUUCUUAUCAUACCUUUAUGGGUAAAUGGGACGGAAGGGCUGUCAUGAUAUAACCAGAAUGAGACAUAAGGGAAUACUCAACAUAGGAUGACCCAACAUGAUAUACAAACUUAUACAUGUGACAUGCCUAUAAGACCAAAAUGAACACUCGUACACUGAACAUAGGCCGACAAGGCCAUACAAUCUUUCAUAUGCAUGACAUCUGUCUACAAUCCUCUAAGAGCACAUACAUAUCAUAAGGUUAGGACAGGACCCCACCAUACCAAUCAGUACAUGUCCAAAUCAUAUUGACCAAAUAGGUAACUCUGGAGCAAGUGGAGUGCACCAACACCUUCCGUUGAGCUGAUAGCCUACUAGGAGGAAUGUCAACCUAUCUAUCGGGACCUGCAGCAUGAAAUGCAGUGUCCCCAGGCAAAAGGGACAUCAGUACGAAUAAAGUACCGAAUAUGUAAGGCAGGAAAAUGUAAAUAAGAACAGUAAUGUAAAGAGAGAUAGAGGAGAUACAACCUGUAACAUCUGAGUGCCUCUGGGGGCUACUGACAUGAAAUGCAUAAUACAUAUAUAUACAUAAACUUUUUAAAAUCAUACGCAUCUAUGGGCAUCAUCAUCAUCAUAUCGUACCCGGCCUCAAAGAGGACCCGGUAAAAAAAAUGUACUCGACCAUCAUAAGGCUCGGUAGAAUCGGACCCGACCACGUGGAGCUCGGUAAACCCAACUGAUUAGUUGUUGCACAAUAGGUGUCGUACUCGGCUGACUAUAACGCGCCUCGGUAAAGUAAAAUAGAUACAUAUAUAUAAUGCAUGCUCAACUCAUGGAAUCAUGCUCUAAACCUUUCAGAAUAAUGUAAGGUCAGUAUCCUCUGUACACAUUAUCAGGACUAACUCUUCACUAUGAACCUUAUAAGAAUUAGGAAGUAUCAAAAACAUUGAUAACAUAAGAAUGAGAGAAGCAACAUCAACAUCAAUUGUUCCAUAAGAGGGGAAACAAUUUAAGUACUGCUAGCUUCUAAGAGUAGAGUAUCUUUGGAAGAUCGUUCAUUACAUUACAUACAAUCGGAGUCAUGCAAAAGAAGGAAAAGGAUAGCCUCACAUACCUUGUAUAUGUACUGCCCAACCUCAAGCUAUGCAAAUGUCAUGACUCCUUAGUCUACAAUAAGAGAAAUGACACUAUCGUUAUCGUUUUAGCAUCGUAAUUAUUAUGUAUCGGCCACAACCUAUUUCACAAUGAAAUGGAAAGCACCUCCCCUAUAUAUAUAACUUCACACAAGUCAAAACAAUCACAAACAACCCAACAUAUCUCUAUCACUUCAUACACAACACGACAACCAUAAUAGUAUCAAAUAAUCCGAAAAUGUUACGACGAACGACCAACAAACAACCUUGCCAUUAUGUGGUGUUUCUCUACACCCUUCCUCCUCUCAACUCUAUGAAAACAAUAGCAAAAGAGACAAACCAAUACCAACACAAAACCGCCUACAAAAUAGUCCCACAAGUUCAUCAGCUCAAAAGUAAUUUUUCAGUUUACUUAAACACGUUUCGACUUGUCUUUUCUCUCAAUUGAGAAACACAACCAAAAGUACAUAAUUAUACCUCUUAUCCAAUAAACCAGCCAUGAAUUCAACUUAAAAAUAAGUUCACAACCAGCCAACCAUUACACAAGAACAAACAACAUACCAUUCUUUCGAAACUAGCUAGGUCUAUUCUGUAUGAUCGAGUUACAACUCGCAAACGCAUAGAUAAUGGAAGGAUAAGCAUAAACGAACCUUGUACUGACUAUAAUCAACGAAACCUGGUCCUUCUUCAUCAAAAAUAAGUUCCUCAACAUGGCUACAAGAAGGAGAAAGAGAAACUAGCAAGCUGUUCGGACUUUUCAGCACUAGAAUCGCAUCGUAACACCCGGAGUACCCUAGGGUUUGUGUGGGAUUUUUGGGUAGGAGUUGCAGGGGCUCAAUUAGGUUUUCUUGGUCUGAAAGAUAGGUGAAAUAACUGUGUUGAUAGUUCCUUAAAUGACCCCUCUUGGCCGACUUUGGGGUUUUUAAUUGAGUCCUCUCAUUUUGGCAAGUAGGUGAUGCACCUACUAGUUACCUACCAGCCUGCGCAUUCUCGCAAAAGUACGAGUAUCUCUCUACUCUGACUCUGUAUCGACAAACAAUUUAAUGCUUUAGAAAACUAGAUGCAUAGAUCUUUAAUUUUGUUGGUAGAUCAUCCCCUAAUUCCAAGUAUAUUAGGAGAAAAGCUCAGUUACAUUUGACCUAAUUUUCAGCACAUUUAUGAAUAGAACUUGUGAUGACCUUUUCCAACUUUUGUUCCAUAACUCGCUUGACAUCAAAACAUAACACCAACUAUCAUACGACUAAAAUAACUCAUAUUAUAAUCUCCUUAUAAUGUUAAUAACCCUAGUUUCAUCCCAAAAGUACAUGGUAAAACAUUCCAACUUGUUGACUUUCGACGAAACUUAUUUUCUUCAAUUUGUUUAGCUUCUAAGCCUUUAAACCCUCUUGCUACUUGGGAUUAAUGAUCUUAAAUAUUUGUAACAUCCGUGUUAACAUGAUGAACUAAAUUUGUAAACUUUUCAAAGAUGAUUCCCUUUCUGAGCUUACAUUAAUUGACUUAUGCCGUACUCUUAUGUACGAAAACAUAUGGUGUAACAUCAUUCCCCCCUUUGGAAUACUCGUCCUCGAAUGUUGACUAAUGCGCUUAUCAGUCUCAUAACCCGUAGCUCUUAAGAAUACUUUAAUAUUGUCUUUGACAUCUAGGAAACUGUUCUGUAAAUAAAUCCAAAGGCCAGGGUAUUCCCCCCUUUAGGCCUCUUUCUCAUACCACAACUUGUGGUCGGAAUUUUUCCAAUCUCAUAAAUAUUGUUACCUUCUGACAUGCAUCAUGUACAGUUGUGUACUUGUAUGUGUGCCUAUGCGACUCUUCUCUCCUUUUUCCUCCAACUUUUAGCCAAUCUCUAGGCCUCACUUUAUGAACAUAUACAGAACUAUGACAAGAUGUCCCUCAAGGCAUAUAUAGGUGUACUAAAGUUCUUCGCUUGGUACUUUAUCGAACUUACGACUAUUGCUAUAUCUUGUUUCAUAGCCUUGUAUAUCUAUCCUUAUGGCUUUUCUACAUCUAGGUAGGUUAUACUAUACCAUAACACUUACUUUUGUUUAUUUUUAUCGAGGUUUGCUACCCAACUCCAGGUUAUUCUCUCGCUACUUAUCCUAUAUGUAUAAAUCUAAGUCAUUUAAUGCUUCCUUAUUAAUGUUCAUCUAAAUAAUGGCAUCAUAAUCUCCUCUCAUAUUUUGGAACUCUUAUCCAUCUAUUAUUGAUUCACCUUAAUGUUGAUCUAUAAUCCACCACUAAUAACUUGAAACCUCUUACGUAAUACAUUGUCACUAGGGCUCACGUCUCAUCGAGGAACAUCUGAAGUGGCUUUCCUUAUCCACCUAGGGACAAUACCAUACUUCAAUAACCUUAUUUUAUAGCAUCCCAAUGUGAUUCGUCUUAUAUUCUAAUCCUGUGCCAUCCAUGAAAUCUCUUCUCUUUGAAUCAUUACUCAAUUGAAGGCCUAAAUAUCAUCCUUUUAUUAUUUACCACAAUUACACCCUUACAUUACGACUAGGGAAGCAUUCUAUCUCUUCUAAAUGCUCCUAGUCUUAGAAUCCUCCGUGUUAAUUCAAGCUAUACUGAGCUUUUUAUAACAUACAUAAACCAUCAUCUCUCUUGUUUGAUGGGCUUAAUACCAAGGUCUUACCUAUUCUUGUCAACUCCUAACUUAGCUUUUCUUAUCCUUACUCCCAUAUACCUAAAGUCUUGUCACUCUGCCAUACUUUAGCUUGCGACCUACAUAUAUCUAUUUGUAAUACUCACAUCCUUCCUUUAACUUGCUAGCACCACAGAUUUCCUUUUGUGCCUUCUCAGUUGUCUUUAAAUGUAAGCAAUUACUUUUCCUGGCCGUUCUGCCAUUUGUUGCAUGAAUACUUGGCUUGUCUUAUUGCCCACGAAUACUAUAAUUUCAUGUACCUCAUAUGAUCUCAAACAUCACCUUUGAUUUGUUUUCCCAUUCAUUAGCCAUUAUAGGCACCACUUUCUUAUGGAGUGCAUCCAAUGUUGUAGUGAGACUAUUGUUACCAGACCAAUUCUUCUUCAAGUUAAUAUGCUUAGGUUGAAGCCCUUUUCCUUAUUUCCUGAGCUAGUCUUUCGUGGUAGUACUUAGGAGACUUUCUGGAUCUUGUAAAGUUGCGAGCUUGAUAUAUCGUACACCUGAAGGAAAUUUUCGUUGUUCUUACUCGCCUAUAAUAAUCCUUAGUUAAAUAACUUUGUGCCCUUGUGCUCGUAGGGUUACUUCUAAGCUCAAAUUUUCAUUGUCUCUUUAGUGGUACUCUCUCUUAUUUUCAUAAAACUUAAACGGUACCUUUAACUGCCUCAACUCCUAUCUAAAUUUUUUUAGAUGAUUGUGAUCUCAUAUCUAUGAGACUAAAUUCCCUAUGAUGUGGUUCAAUACAUUUAUAUUGCAUGAUCUUUUAAUUUAUCUGUGACCUCUUGUUUAGCCAUAACCGGGCUCUUCCUGAAUCAACUACUAAUUACUCGUUGGUCCAUUCUCAUAUAUAUAUUUCGCAUAAGCUCUCUUGGGAUAUAUCCUUUGUCUUAACUUACCUCUCGCCACUAGCUCCUGAUGUUUCAAGUGUCCAUUCACACUUAUUUAUCAAUAACAUCCUGGCUGAAAACUUUUACUACCUUUCCCCGGUAUCGUGCUUGUAUAAAGUUCUGGAGUCACAACAUAUCUGUAGGAACUGAAUAAAUGCAACAUCAUCCCUUUCUCCUUUUCACCACAUUCUUCCUUUACCAUUCCAUAGUUACCUAGACCGCUUAACUCCGACUUAAUACCAUAUCAUACCACAUUCCCUCCUUUAGGGGAGUACUAAGAUUUAGUACUAUGAUGAUCUAGCUAUAGAUGUUUUACCUCUUCAUCUUUGGCGUCUUUUCACAUUAUAAAUGAACCUUAAUCGCCUUAUGGUAAUUUUUUGUACCAGGGAUAACUAAAUUUCUUAUGCAGAAGGUGACACCUAGUGUAAUUGGCACAUUUAGUCCCUUAAGCUUAACUUUGCUCACAUUGCUCGCUUUAGGGAAACCUCUUCCUGAAUGACCUUUAAAGGUUAUUCUUCUAUUGUCCAUUUUAUUAUUGUUGGAACACGAUCUCCGAAAUUCUUAUGAGGCUGACUAUUACCAAAUACUUCGAUCCCUAAUUCAUGUUCAGUUUAUCUUAUUCUCCAUCCCAUACUGAUUUCUAUUACUCCGGGGUCUAAUCUUUCCUUAUGGUAAUCACGUUAGAGUCACCAAAUCAUUUCUCGAAAUGGGAAUAUGACUUUAUGUCUUAUACUCUUUUAUUGUCUUAAGUCCUGUCACCUCUUAUAUCUUCCUUCACUUGACUAUAAACUUUAUCAUCAUGUCGUAUUUUGAUUUACUGUUAUCACCCAUUUAUUACAUCUUACUCAUAAUGCUUUAUUUACUCUCUUCUUAUUCUCCGGCUAAUAUUUCUGUCUAUCACUUUAUUCUGAUAACUUCAACAAAUCAUUCUUUCACUUUUAGCUCCCCUUGCUUCAUCUCACUGGCUCUUUAGGUCACCUAGCAUUCUCUCUUUACUAGGAACGGGAGCCAUACAAAGGUAAAUAUUUAUCCCUUCUAGGAUUUCAGUGCCAAUCUUCUAAAAUUUCUGAACAUUCAUGUAUUCAUAUAUGAUUGUACUAUACUAUGGUGCACCAUCUGGGUGUCUCACAAGGAGAUCUGUUACCACGUUUUCACUAUCCGUCAAAAAUGUUAGCUAAUGAUAACAAUCCAUCUACAAAUUUGGGCUACUCUAACCCCAGCUGGAUCCUAAUAUCCCAUUCUUCUUUUAAACUAUAUUUGUUAGCUCCCAUAGGGCAUAAUUUCGAUGGGCGUGGCCAAUUGUACAUACCUCUGUUGCUGUUGAAUGUAACUCAUAAUACAUAUAUUUCUCUGCCUGAAUUGUAAAACUCAAAACCUUCACUAACUGGUACCUCGUAAUCUUUGUCACCUUGCUUCUUUUAUUUGUUGAAACUUGUAUCUACCUUCUGAUUCUCUUGUUGAUUUUUAAACCAUAUGGGUGGAUAGAUAUUCACGCCUUACGCCUGCUUAUCAAUAAACUUUCACGCUUUAGUACACAUAUAAUCUACUGAAGACCUUACAUUUACUCAUCAUAAGCAUGAUACAAAUUUAUGUUUCAUUGACUCAACUCUUCCAUAACAAAGUUUCUCUUACCUACUAUCUGUUUGGAUGAGGAAUCAUUGUGUUACAAAUAAAAUAGAAUUUACAAGUUUGAAUUCUUACAAUUGUGCUCUACCACACGAUCUAGAGUAAGAAGAAAGAGUGACAGUAAUAAAUGCCCUGCAGCCUCCUACUUAUAAGUGUAGUGCACUACACACCCAUAAAUAAGACUCUACUAGACACGGCUUGUAGACUCCCUAGAACAGAACUGCUCUGAUACCACUUCUGUCACGACCCAAAUUGGAGGGCCGCAAUGGGCAUCCGGUGCCUUACCCAACCGAGUACCAACAUAACGUAUUCUUUCUUAUCAUACCAUUAUGGGUAAAUAGGAUGGAAGGGUCGUCAUGAUAUAACCAGAAUGAAACAUAAGGGAAUACUCAACAUAGGAUGACCCAACAUGAUAUACAACCUUAUACACGUGACAUGCCUAUAAGACCAAAAUGAACACUCGUACAUUGAACAUAUGUUGACAAGGCCAUACAAUCUUUCAUAUGCAUGACAUCUGUCUACAAGCCUCUAAGAGCACACACAUAUUAUAAGGUCGGGGCAGGACCCUGCCAUACCAAUGAAUACAUGUCCAAAUCAUAUUGACCAAAUAGGCAACUCCGGAGAAAGUGUUGUGCACCAACACCUUCUGUUGAGCUAAUAGCCUACUAGGAUGUCAACCUAUCUAUCGGGACCUGUAGCAUGAAAUACAGUGUCCCCAGGCAAAAGGGACAUCAGUAUAAAUAAAGUACCGAGUAUGUAAGGCAGGAAAACAUAAAUAAGAACAGUAAUGUAAAGAGAGAUAGAGGAGAUACAACCUGUAACAUCUGAGUGCCUCUAGGGGCUACUGACAUGAAAUGCAUAAUACAUAUAUAUACAUAAACUUUUUAAAAGCAUACGUCUUUGUGGGCAUCAUCAUCAUCACAUCGUACCCGGCCUCAAAGAGGACCUGGUAAAAAAAACGUACCCGGCCAUCAUAAGGCUCAGUAGAAUCGGACCCGGCCACGUGGAGCUCGGUAAUCCCAACCGAUUAGUUGUUGCACAAUAGGUGUCGUACUCGGCUGACUAUAGCGCACCUCGGUAGAGUAAAAUAGAUACAUAUAUAUAAUGCAUGCUCGACUCAUGGAAUCAUGCUCUAAACCUUUUAGAGUGAUGUAUGGUCAGUAUCCUCUGUACACAUUAUCAGGACUAACUCUUCACUAUGAACCUUAUAAGAAUCAGGAAGUAUCAACAACAUUGAUAACAUAAGAAUAAGAGAAGCAACAUCAACAUCAAUUGUUCCAUAAGAGGGGAAACAAUUUAAGUACUGCUAGCUUCUAAGAGUAGAGUAUCUUUGGAAGAUCGUUCAUUACAUUACGUACAAUCGGAGUCAUGCAAAAGAAGGAAAAGGAUAGCCUCACAUACCUUGUAUAUGUACUGCCCAACCUCAAGCUAUGCAAAUGUCAUGAUUUCUUAGUCUACAAUAAAAGAAAUGACACUAUCGUUAUCGUUUUAGCAUCGUAAUUAUUAUGUAUCGGCCACAACCUAUUUCACAAUGAAAUGGAAAGCACCUCCCCUAUAUAUAUAACUUCACACAAGUCAAAAAAAUCAGAAACAGCCCAACAUAUCUCUAUCACUUCACACACAACACGACAACCAUAAUAGUAUUAAAUAAUCCGAAAAUAUUACGACGAACGACCAACAAACAACCUUGCCAUUAUGUGGUGUUUCUCUACAUUAUUCCUCCUCUCAACUCCAAAAAAAAGUAGCAAAAGAGACAACCCAAUACCAACAUGAAACAACCCACAGAACAGUCCCCUAAGUUUAUCAACUCCAAAGUAAUUUUUCAGUUUACUUAAACACCUUUCGACUUGUCUUUUCUCUCAAUUGAGAAAAACAACCAAAAGUACAUAGUUAUACCUAUUAUCCAAUAAAACAACCAUGAAUUCAACUUAAAAAUAAGUUCACAAUCAGCCAACCAUUACACAAGAAUAAACAACAUACCAUUCUUUCGAAACUAGCUAGGUUUAUUAUUUACGAUCGAGUUACAACUCACAAACGCAUAGAUAAUGGAAGGAGAAGCAUAAAAUUACCUUGUACUGAGUAUAACCCACGAAACCUGGUCUGUCUUCAUCAAAAAUAAGUUCCUCAACACGGCUACAAGAAGGAGAAAGAGAAACUAGCAAGCUGUCUGGACUUUUCAGCACUAGAAUUGUGUCGUAACACCCGGAAUAUCCUAGGGUUUGUGUAGGAUUUUUGGGGAGGAGUUGCAAGGAUUCAAUUAGGUUUUCUUGUUCUUAAAGAUAGGUGAAAUAACUGAGUUGAUAGUCCCUUAAAAGACCCCUCUUGGCCGACUUUGAGGCUUUUAAUUGAGUCCUCUCAUUUUGGCAAGUAGGUGAUGCACCUACUUGUCACCUACCAUCCUGCGCAGUCUCGCAAAAAUACGAGUAUCUCUCUACUCCGACUUCGUAUCAACAAACAAUUUAAUGCUUUAGAUACUAGAAUCAUAGAUAUUUAAUUUGGUAUGUAGAUCAUCCCCUAAUUCCAAGUAUAUUGGGGAAAAAGCUCAGUUACAUUUGACCUAAUUUUCAGCACAUUUAUGAAUGAAACUUGUGAUGAUCUUUUCCAACUUUUGUUUCAUAACUCGCUUGACUUCAAAACAUAACACCAACUAUCAUACGACUAAAAUAACUCAUAUUAUAAUCUCCUUAUAAUGUUAAUAACCCUAGUUUUACCCCAAAAGUACAUGGAAAAAUAUUCCAACUUGUCGACUUUUGACGAAACUUAUUUUCUUCAAUUUGUUUAGCUUCUUAGCCUUUAAACCCUCUUGCUACUUGGUAUUAAAUAUCUUAGAUAUUUGUAACCUCCACGUUAACAUGAUGAACUAACUUUAUAAACUUUUCAAAGAUGAUUCCCUUUUUGAGCUUACAUUAAUUGACUUAUGACGUUCUCUUACGUACGAAAAUAUGGGGUGUAACAAUACCAUUCGUGAGCGACUGUCCAUUUGAGUUUGUGUGUGGUGGUGAAUUUCACAUGGUUGAUUAACGUAUCUUCACUCCCACCAAUGAUCAUUUGUAUAGUACGAGAUGGUGAUAGUGGUUUUAGAGGUCCCUAAGGUUGAUCGCGUCCACGAGAAAAGUUGGCCCAUCCUCGAUUGCUCAGCAGUUCUUUCAGGUAUCACUUGUUUAACAUUCUUACCACUUUCUGUCGCAAACAUAUGCAGUCCUCGGUCUUGUGUCCCCUUUUAUGAUGGAAUUUACAUAGAACAUUCGAUCUCCUCGUGCUCGGAUUCGACUUCAUCUUGUGCGGCCACUACACCUUUGUGGCGAGCUUUUCCAGUGCGUACACUAUUUCUGAAGGAGAAAUACAAAAGUUAUGAGUAGAUAAUAGUGGAGGCAUACCUCUUUCAUUUCAGGGUGGUGCGAUGUGUCGAGGCGCACCAUCUAUAUGUCGUGGAGGAGGUGGGUUGGAUUUUCGGAUAUAGGGCUGGUGCCUUUCUCAAUUGAAACGUGGUAGUUGGUCCCUUCAGCCGUCAUUGCGGUGAUCUCUCCUUGUCUCUGUCUGGACCGAGGUUAGUCAUUGGAUCGGACCGUUCAGGCCAUCCUCAUCUGCCCUCACUUCGGCUCAAUAGGCAUUAUGGAUCUCUUCCCACGUGGUGGGGGGUACUUCAUGAGUCUACUUAGCAGCUUUUUGGUUGCUUUUGACCCAUUUCUAUUUAACCCAUUUUGAAAGGCUGCUACCGCCAUACUUUCUGACACGUUUGGUAUGCUCAUCCUUACCCUGUUGAAUCGGGCUAGGAAAUCCCGAAGUCCUUCAUCUGUCGUUUACCUGACAACGAAGAUAUCAUUUACCCUGGCCUCUGCCUUUUUCGCUCCUGCGUGAGCGGUGACUAACUUAUCUGCCAUUUCUUCGAACGUUCAUAUCGAUCGUGCUGGUAGUUGGGAAUACCAUAUCAACGCUCCUCUUUUCAGAGUUUUGCCAAACUUUUCAGCAGUACUGACGGCACCUGUUCUUUUGAUAGAUCGUUACCUUUUACUAUAGUAACGUAAUGGAUUAAGUGAUCCUCCGGGUCUGUGGUGGCAUCAUAUAUUUUUAGAUAUGGCAGCAUUUUGAAGGUUUUUAGAAUAGAGUGGGAAGCUGCCCCUUCACUAUAUGGUUGUUCGACGAAUCGGCCCACGUCACGUUUUGGUAGCAACUUCGGAGCGCCCGAUAUUUUAUCAACCCUUUCCUGAUGCUCUUUCAUCUGUCGUAGAGUGUUUUGUUCUCAUUUUCCAUCUCUUCCAUUUUCAUUAAGAUGGUCGCAAGUGCAUUGUUGCUUGCAUCAGCGACCGUAUGGGCGUUACUUGUUCGUGUAAUUUCUGGCUCAUCGACGACAGUUGCGGUUUCUGCGGGUAAUGUGUCUUCGAUAUCCCUCUAUACGGGUUUCUCGAGUAUGUUGCUCAAGAUAUUUGUCAGCCAUUCUUCUAAUAGCCUUUUCACGGCUGGUGGUACUUCUCUUGCUGUGGAUGUUAAGGUUUCCCUCUCGCGCGAGACAGUUAAACCCUCUUGGGGGGGUGUGAGAUCUCUCCCUCAGGUGUAGCACUUGAUGUUGCGUUUUUGUUGUCUUCUCCAUUGGCAUCAUUGAGGGAAUUCAGGAGGUUGUUCGUGACACCUACUAUUGCAUUUAGCCUUGUUUCUCCCUUUCCUGCAAUUGUUAGCCUUUGUAAGACUAAAAAGAGGUUAUUAUUUCUUUCAAGAAUCUAGACAAAACUAAGAUCUCAGCUAUAGAAAUCCCCACAGACGGCGCCACAUUGUUUGACUCAAAAGAUAUCGAAAUCUUUUUGAAUAAAUCAAUCAAAGAAAAUGAAGGGGUAAAUCUUAUCUAUGUAUAAUAAUCUCUAGAAAGAAAGAUAGAUAAGGGGAAUACGGAUGAUAAGAAUUCUUUAUCCCAUCUAGACCAAAAGACCUUUCACAAUAAUCUUCUCAAUCUUUUAUGUAAGCAAGUUUACAGCAAGUAUUAUGGAUUAGCAAAAGUGCCUGCCCUUACAAAGUUGUUUCAUGCUAUAUAUAUAUAUAUAUAUAUAUAACGNNNNNNNNNNNNNNNNNNNNNNNNNGUGCAGAUCCAGGUUCUUCUGCUCAGCCAUUCUACCAGUGAGGCGGGCGAUACCAGAGACUUCGAGGUAUAUAUGUCGCGUCCGCAAAUCUAGAAGUCCCUCUCUAUUCUCCCCUCUAGCUUUAGACUUCCUGUACUUACUUUUGAUUAGACAUUCUAGAGUUAGAACACUAUAUAGUUUUUCUACAGUUUGUGAUUUCAUGAGAUUCUGGGUUUUGGGAGUUUGAUUCAAUUUUGAGAGUAUGUAUUGUAUAUGCCGAGCGGCAUUUCCAAACUCUUUACUUAUAUUUUUACUCGUAACUUGCCAGUUUCGUAUUUCAUUUCCUUUUUCCGCAAUUUGUUAGGCUUACCUAGUUGUAGAGACUAGGUAUAGUCACGACAGUUCACGGAGGGAGAACUAGGGUCUUGAAAAGUUAGUAUCAGAGAUCUAGGUUCAUAGAAUGUCAUGAAUCGCAAGCCGAUUUAUUAGAGUCUCACGGAUCGGUACGGAGACGUCUGUACUUAUCUAUGAGAGGCUAUGUAACUAUUAGGAAAAUUCCACUUCAUUUGAUUUCCUUGUUAUGUAAGAGUUUUGAUAUCAAAAUUCUAAACCUCUAUCUUCUAUUCUCUCACAGAUGGCGAGGACACGUGCUACCGGAGAUGAACAGGAACCCGCACCCCCUACUAGAUCCAUCAGUGGUCGGGGCUGGGGUAGAGGCCAAGGACGUGCACGUGGUGCAGCCAGAGCACCCUCGCGAGCUGCCAUAGAGGAGCCACUAGCAACUCCAGCCGGAGCCCAAGCACCUGACACGCCUACUGCUACUACUACUACUCCAGCUCUUCAGGAGACCUUUGCACAGUUCGUGAGCAUGUACACCACUCUAGCUCAGGCAGGGUUAAUUCCCCUUGCUGCAGCCACAUCCCAGGAAAGGGAGGAGCCUAGACUCCCGCCUCCCAUACCCCAGAGCAGCGAGUCCUGGUUAAUUAGAUCCCAGAGGUUAUACCGGUACCGUCUGCAGCCCCAGUUAAGCCCGAGGAUAGGGCAGCAGCUUCGGAGGAUGAGCAGCGGAGGCUUUAGAUGUUCAAGAAGUACAAGCCUCCUAUAUUCAGUGGUCUAGCAUAAGAUGAUGCUCUGGUAUUUCUGGACAAGUUCUAACGUAUCCUCCGCACUAUGGGUAUAUCAGGAUCGAGUGGGGUUUACUUCAGUACCUUCCAUCUUCGAGGAGCAGCGUACCAAUGGCGGCGUACUUAUGAGUUGGAAAGACCAGCUGAGGCACCUUCCCUUAUAUGGACCUAGUUUUCAGAUAUAUUUUGAGGGAGUAUGUUCCUCAAAGCCUUAGGGAUGCAUGACGCGCUAAGUUUGAGCAUUUGCGCCAAGGUGCUAUGAUAGUUUCGGAGCAUGCUGUCCAUUUCACUGACUUGGCUAGGCAUGCAAAAGCCUUGGUUUCUACAGUUCGUGAGAGAGUUCACCGGUUUAUUGAGGGGCUCAUUCCUAGCAUCAAGUCUAGCAUGGCUCGGAAGUUGGAGAUAGAUAUCUCUUAUCAGCAGGUGGUGAGCAUUUCUAGGAGAGUAGAGGGUAUGCAUGCUUGGGAUAGAGAGGAUAGGGAAGCCAAGAGGUCUCGAGGGUCGGGUCAUUAUUCUGGUGCCCGUGCCCCAGUUGCAGUUCAUCAUGGUAGGGGUUAUAUGAGUCGCCCUGUUUAUUCAGCUCUUCUAGCAGCCAGUGGUAUUCCAGCUCCUCCUAGACCCAAAGAGCCUUAUUAUGAACCUCCAGUAUCUAGGCCUCCUACAUGGGGUGCUUUCAGUGGUUAGUCCAGCAGAACUUGAGCGAGCCAGUCACAGCCGCCACUUCCUCCCAGAGCUUGUUUUGAGUGUGGUGACACACACCAUAAGGUGAGAGAUUGCCCCAGACUUAGGAGGGGUGCACCUCCACAGACUUCUGAGCCAUAACAUGCUUCGUAGAGUUCUCAUGCUAUGAUUACAGCACUAGUUGUUGCCCCACCUACCCAACCAGAUAGAGGGGAGGUCGGGGAGGUAGAGGUCUCCCUAGAGGGGGAGGCCAAGCUAGAUAUUAUGCCAUUCCUGCCCAUACUGAGGUUGUCGCCUCCAAUUCUGUCAUCACAUGUAUUGUACUGGUUUAUCAUAUAGAUGCAUCAGUUUUAUUCGAUCUAGGCUCCACUUAUUCUUAUGUGUCCUCUUAUUUUGCCUCGUAUUUGGGCGUACCUCGGAAUUUUUUGAGUUCCCCUGUUUAUGUUUCUACUCCCGUGGGAGAUUCUCUUAUUGAGGACCACGUUUAUCAGUCAUGUUCGAUUGCUCUUAGUGGUUUUGAGACUAGAGCCGAUCUAUUAUUGCUCACCAUGGUAGAUUUAGAUGUUAUCUAGGGCAUGGACCGGUUGUCACCCUAUUAUGCUAUUCUUGCUUGUCUCGCCAAAACCUUGACAUUGGCUAUGCCAAAUGUACUGCGAGUAGAGUCAAGGGGUACCUUAGAUCACACUCCCAGUAGAGUUUUUUCAUUCCUUAAGUCUCAGCGAAUGGUUGACAAGGGUUGUGGCGCAUAUCUAGCUUACGUGACAGAUAUCAGUAUUUAUACCCCUAUAGUUGAUUGAGUCCCAGUAGUAUGGGAUUUCCUUGAUGUGUUUCCAACUGAUCUUCCGGGUAUGCCACCCGACAGCGAUAUUGAUUUCGGCAUUGAUUUGUUGUCGGUCACUCAGCCUAUUUUCAUUCCUCCUUAUCAUAUGGCCCCUCCUGAGUUAAAGGAGUUGAAGGAUAAGUUACAGGAAUUGCUCGAUAAGUGUUUUAUUCAGCCCAGUCACCUUGGGGUGCUCUUGUCUUGUUUGUGAAGAAAAAGGAUGGUUCUAUGCGUAUGUGCAUUGAUUAUCGCCAGUUGAACAAAGUUACAGUGAAGAACCAGUAUCCUUUGACUCGUAUUGAUGAUUUGUUUGACCAGUUAUAAGGUGCUCGAGUGUUUUAUAAGAUUGACUUGCGUUCAGGUUAUCAUUAGUUGAAGAUUCGAGAGCCAGAUAUCCCGAAGACUGCUUUCAAGACUCGGUAUGGUCAUUACGAGUUCCUUGUUAUGUCAUUUGGGCUGACCAAUGCCCCAGCAGCCUUUAUGCAUUUGAUACACAACAUUUUCUGCCAUAUCUUGACUCGUUCAUCAUUGUCUUUAUUGAUGACAUUCUGGUAUACUCCUAGAGUCGGGAGGAUCAUGAGCAGCACCUGAGGACAACGCUUCAGACUUUGAGAGAAAAGAAAUUAUAUGCAAAUUUCUCAAAAUGUAAGUUUUAGUUGGAUUCCGCGAAAUUCUUCGAUCACGUGGUAUCGAAUGAAGGGAUCAAGGUGGAUACAAAGAAGGUGGAGGCGGUAUAGAGUUGGCCCAGACCAUCCUCAACUAUAGAGAUCCGUAGUUUUCUUGGCUUGGCGGGUUAUUACCAUCGAUUUGUUUAGGGAUUUUCAUCUAUUGUAGCACCUAUGACCAAACUGACCCAGAAGGGUGCUCCGUUCCAGUGGACGGAAGAGUGUGAGGAGAUCUUCCAGAAGCUCAAGACAACUUCAGUAUGAUGACCCUCAUUUGCUUAUCCUCAUAGACAAGGUUCUGCAUGGUGAUGCUAGAGAUGUGACCAUUGGUGAUGAUGGUGUAUUGAAGAUGCAAGGUCGAGUAUGUGCACCCAAUGUUGAUGGGCUUCAAGAGUUGAUUCUAGAGGAAGCCCACUGUUUGCGGUAUUCCAUCCAUCUGGGUGCCGCAAAGAUGUACCAAAAUUUGAGACAUCACUAUUGGUGGAGGCGGAUAAAGAAUGAUAUAAUUGGAUUUGUAGCUAGGUGCCUCAAUUGUCAUCAGGUAAAGUAUGAGCACCAGAGACCAGGUGGUUUGCUUCAGCAGAUAGAUAUUCUGGAGUGGAAGUGGCAGCGGAUCACCACGGAUUUCGUAGUUGGACUCUCACAAACUUUGAGAAAGUUCGAUGCCAUUUGGGUGAUUAUGGAUCGGCUGACCAAGUUUGUGCAUUUCAUCCUUUGUGUACCACCUACUCUUCGGAACGGUUGGCGGUGAUUUAUAUCCAGAAGGCUAUUUGUCUGCAUGGUAUUCCAGUUUCCAUCAUUUUAGAUAGAGGUACUUAGUUUACAUCACGGUUCUGGAGGGCCGUACAACAUGAAUUGGAUACUUCGGUGGAGUUGAGCAUAGCAUUUCACCCCCAGACAGACUGACAGUCCGAGCGCACAAUUCAGAUUUUUAAGGGUAUGCGUCGUGCGUGUGUGAUGGAGUUUGGAGGUUCUUGGGAUCAGUUCUUGCCACUAGUGGAGUUUGCCUACAAAAACUGUUAUUAGUCCAACAUUCAGAUGGCACCGUAUGAGGCCUUGUAUGGUAGGCGGUCUAGAUCCCCGGCGGGUUGGUUUGAGCCAGGUGAGGCUAGAUUAUUAGGCACAUACUUGGUUCAAGACGCCUUGGAGAAGGUUAAGGUGAUAUAGGAUAGACUUCGCACAUCCCGGUCCAGAUAGAAGAGUUAUGCGGACCAGAAGGUUCGUGAUGUUUCCUAUAUGGUUGGAGAGCAGGUCUUGCUUCGGGUUUCGCCUAUGAAGGGCGUCAUGAUAUUUGGGAAGAUGGGGAAAUUGAGUCCGGCUUUUAUUUGUCCUUUUGAGGUAUUAUGACGUGUUGGGGAGGUUUCUUAUGAGCUUGCCUUACCUCCCAGCUUGGCAGGAGUUCAUCCGAUAUUUCAUAUUUCGAUGCUUAGAAAGUAUCACGGUGAUCCGUCACAUGUGUUGGAUUUCAGUUCAUUCCAGUUGGACAAGGAUUUAUCUUAUGUGGAGGAUCCAGUGGCGAUAUUGGGUAGGCAAGAUCGAAAGUUGAGGUCAAAGAACAUUGCAUCAAUGAAGGUUCAGUGGCGGGGUCAGCCGGUCGAUUAGGCGACUUGGGAGACCGAACGGGAUAGCGCAGUCAUUACCCUCUUCUUUUCACUACUUCAGAUAUGUUUCUAUGCUCGUUCGAGUACGAACGAAUGUUUUAAGCGGGGGAGGAUGUAACGAUCCGGCCAGUUUUUUUGAGAAUUAACGCCUUGAUCCCCUAUUAACUGCUUUCCCCGGGUUUAUUGUUGCUAUUGUGAGUUGCCGGGAAGUUUUGAGUUUCGAAGUGUUUUGGGACACGUAGUCCCUCAAUGAGAUCUUAAGCUUUAGAAUUUGGACCGUAGUCGGAGCAGUGUGACGACGUCCUCGAAGUGGAAUUCGUAGAUUCUGUUAGCUUCGUUAAGUGAUUUCGGGAUUAAGGGCGUGUUCGGAUUGUGUUUUGGAGGUCUGUGGCUUAUUUAGGCUUGAAAUGCUGAAAGUUGAAUUUUUGAAGUAUUCAGAUUGAUAGUGAGAUUUUUAUAUCGGGGUCAGAAUCCAAUUCCGAAAGUUGGAAUAGCUCUGUAGUGUUGAAUGUGACUUGUGUGCAAAAUUUGGGGUCAAUCAGACAUGGUUUAGUUGGUUUCAGCAUCGGUUGUAGAAUUCUUGAGAUUUCAAGUUCAUUAGGCAUGGAUUGGAGGGUGAAUCAUGGUUUUAGCGUUGUUUGAUGUGAUCUGAGGUUGGAUUAAAUUUGUAUGAUGUUUUAGGAUUGGUUGGCAUGUUUGGUUGAGGUCCCAAGGGCCUCACGUGAGUUUCGGGUGUUUAAUGGAAUUAGAUUUGGACUUAGGCAUUUUCUGAUAUUGCUGAAUCUAUCAUAACCGCACCUGCGUAUGUGGGACGGCAAGUGCGGGACUGCAGAAGCGGCUUGAUGAUCGUAGAAGCAGAUUUAGGCUAGGGCUUCAGGAAUCGCAGGUGCGGCUGGCUGACCGCAAAUGCGGAACCACAGAUGCGGCCAAGUGACCGCAAAUGCGUCCCCAGCCCGGUUAAGUGAAUUUCGCACCUGCGAUGCCUUUUCCGCAGGUGCGUCCCCCCUGACGCAUAUGCGGUAAUCGCUCGGCAGAUAUAGAACUUUUGAGAGUUUGAAGUUCAUAACAUUAAAUUUGAUUUUAGCUCGGGAGAAGGCGAUUUUGAGAGGGUUUUGAAGAGGAAAUCAGUGGGUAACGAUUCCUAACCCUAUUUCGUUUAUAUUUUAUCAAUCUAUUGUUGUUUUACACAUUUAAUCUAAGAAUUUGAGUGGAAGAAUGGGGAUUUGGGGGACAAGUUCCCCAAUUGAAAAUUCGAGUUUUGAGUAAGAUUUGGAGUCGGAUUUUGAUGAUUUUUGUUUGAGUGUGCUCGUGAGUGAAUGGGUGUUCAUAAUUUCUGACUUUUACCCGAUUCCGAGGCUUGGGCCUGGGGAGGAUUGUCGGGCGUUUUUCUAUUUCCUUACCUUAGCUUCGAUUCCUUUAGCUAAAUUUGUUGUUUGUUAUAUUUACAUUAUUAAAUUUAUUUAAUUAGAUUUGGCCCACUAAGAGUUGGAUAAUCGUUGCAAGAGCGUGAUUUCAGAUUUAUUUUGAGUUGGUUCGAGGUAAGUGGUUUGCCUAACCUUGUGUGGGGUGACUCUCCUUAGAAUUUUGGUAUUGUUGUUAUAUGAGUGUCGUAUACGUGAGGUGACGAGUGUGUAAACGUGCUAAUUGUUGAAAAACUCCAUUUUCAUUAAGUAAAUAUCUGCGUUUUCUUCUAAUUGAGAAAUUCUUGUACUUGAAGCCUCUUGUUUAGUUUAGGAAAAGCAUGCUCAUGUGAUCUAAUUGUCUUACUUGCUUUAUCUGCUUACUUGUAUUUUGUGAAACAUGUUUAGAGUAGAAUUCCUAUUUAUUUUCGAAUAGAAUUGUAGGUUCUUUCUUGAGACUGUUGUUUGUUUACUUUGGGACUACGGGACGAUAUCCCGGGAGAUGCCCCUGCAUGUUUACUUUGGGACUACAGAUCGGUAUUCUGAGAGAUCCCCCUGCACGUUUACAUUUGGGACUACGGGACAAUACCCGGAAGAUUCUCCUGUACUAGAUAUUUACUUUGGGCCUACGGAUUGGUAUUCCGGGAGAUUCUCCUACAUAUUUAUGAUUCGGGCUACGAGACGAUAUCAUAGGAGAUCCUCUACACAAUUACAUUAGGAAUUAUGGGACGAUAUCCUCGGAGAUCCCUUGUUGCUAUCUCUAUGUACUGAGUAUAUUAUGUCUGUGAUUUUACUCUUUAUCAAUUGUUAGUAUUUUUAAUUAUACCGUAGCACUUCAUACUAUUUUACCUUGUUUUAUAUGUAUAUAACCAAUAGGGCCCUGACCUUCCUCGUCACUACUCGACCGAGGUUAGGCUUGACACUUAGUGUGUAUCGUUGUAGUGUACUCAUGCCCUUUCCUCCACAUAUUUUUUGUGUGCAGAUCCAGGUUCUUCUGCUCAGCCGUUCUACUAGUGAGGCAAGCGAUAUCAGAGAUUUCAAGGCAUAUCUGCCGCAUCCGCAGAUCCAGAAGUCCAUCUCUAUUCUCCCCUCUAGCUUUAGACAUUCUGUAUUUACUUUUGAUUAGAUAUUCUGGAGUUAGAACACUAUAUAGUUUUUCUACAGCUUGUGAUUUCAUGAGAUUCCGGGUUUUGGGAUUUUGAUUCGGUUUUGAGAUAACGUAUUGUAUAUACCGAGCGGCAUUUUCAAACUCUUUACUUAUGUUUUUACUCGUAACUUGCCAGUUUUGUAUUUCAUUUCCUUUUUUCAAAAUUUGUUAGGCUUACCUAGUUGUAGAGACUAGGUGCCGUCACGAAAGUUCAUGGAGGAUGAACUAGGGUCAUGACAGUUUCACUGGCAAAGUCUUGGAACAAUCUAUCAAAAUGCUUCUGUGCUUCUCCAUCAGACGGCUGGUGCAGCACACCAUCUAGCCUUCUAUAUUCAUAGCGCUAUCUCAUAUGAGGAGCGGAACUCAUUGAUGUAUAAUACCUCUUUAACCUUAGUAUAAGGGGUAAGUAGUGCAUCAACUUCAAUGGAACCUUCUUCUAUUUAGCAUUUGUGACAUCAUUGAAAUAAGGCAGGUUAAAAAAUGUAUUAUUUUCUAAAGCUUCAUCAUCCUUAUAGAAUAACAUGCAACCUUUAUUACAACAAUCAAUCCUCUUCGAUGAAAGACUCAACUUGGAAACUAAUUUCUUUGCCGUGUAAAAAUCUUUGGGCAGGUAAAUCUUUGUCGGAUUAAGUUCAUUCAUAAGGCCAAUGAUAGAAUCCAUGUCACUUGAGAAAUAGAAUUAUCUGAUUUAAUACUUAGUAAUCUAACUGCAACAAACAAUUUGGAAUACAUUGCGCCUUCAUAAAGAGGACAACUAGCUUCCUCUAACUACUUGAAGAAGCUCUUAGCCUCAUCAUUUGGUUUAGAUUGAGCCCCUGGGAACAUCUCAAAAGCAUCCCUCAUCAUUUCAUUGAAUCGAAAUUUUUUUACAUUAUUAUUCCCCGCUAUGGGACUAUCGUCUUCUCCACCAAAAGAAUUUUGAAAAUCAAUAUCAUUUACACUAGCAUGACUCUGCUCAUAAAUAGUCCACUCAUAAUAAUUUACCAUACACCCCUUCUUAUAUAGAUGAACAGUAAUAAUGUCGGAAGCCAAUAACUUAACUCACUUGCAUUUCACACAAGGACACCUAAUCGUCCCUUCAAUAAGGAAAUCAUCAAAUGUCUUUUCUUUACCAAUAAAGCCAGCAACCACUUCUAUAAAUUCUUCCCGCAAACCGUUACGAUUCGCAUGAUUCCUAUUGUACAACCAUCUACGAUGUGUAAAUUCCAUCUACACAUAGAAGAAAAUUAGAAAUUGAAAUAUUUAUGUUAUUUACCCUAAUCAAUAAAUUUUAUUCUUUAAAGGUUACUUAUCUAAAUAGUUUAAUUAUAUAUUUAAGUGUAAUUUGAUAUUUAUCUAUCUGAUUUAGUAAUCUAAAAAGGUUUUUGCAUUCAUCCAUACUCAUUGGUAAACUCAAAAGCAACAACAAGCGUUAAACAUUAUAUUCAAAAAACCUUAGCUUAAUACAAUUUCAAACCAAUGAGAUUAUUAUAUUUAAUAAACUUUAAUCUUACAAUUAUUUUGUAUAUUUACUUCACUAUUGUUUAAAGUAUAGAAGCUACAUAACAUAAAUAAUAUAAAAUACAAUUAAAUCCCUUUGAAAGAUGAAUCAAAAUUAAUGCUAUAAUUAUUCAACACACUACUUAAUGGUAACUGAAUAACAUAUAUACAUUACAAUGUGAAAAUAAAGUCAAAAUUGAAUAGUUUUAUUCCUAAUUUUAUAACAUAUAUAAUUUACCAUACCUUUCGAAGAUUACUCCUAUUGAAGAAGAAUAUAUAUCUCAACUUUCAAAAGAAGAUUAAUUUUAAUGUUACUCAAGGUUAAUUCACUUCUAAUUUUUUUAUUCAAAAGAAGAUUACUUUUAAUGUUACUCAAGGAUCUAAACAAUAGUUAUUCAAAGUCAAAAUUAAAUUAUUCUUCAUUUCAACUCUAAUUUCAAUUCUAAUCAUAUCAAACAAAAAAAUCUACAAUUCAAAUUUUAAUAGCAAUACAAAUAAAAAGAACAAAUAUAUUAACAUUCAAGUCCAGAGAAAGAUGAUGGAAGGACUUACCUCGCCAGAGAAGAUGCAUGCUGCCGGAGAAGACUCACGUUGCCGGAAAAGAUAUAAACACUACCUGAAAAAGAAAAAAAGAGGGGUUAGAAGGGGAGUUGGCCUUGACAGAGAUGAGGCGGAGAGGGAGGAAGGGAAAAAGAGAUAUAUACCGUCGGGCAAUUCGGCAACGACGACGUGGGAUGAACAAGUGGGCAAAGAGAGUGAAGGGGGCUAAGAUAAGAGAAAGAAAAGAGAAAGAGAAUAAAAAAAGAAGAAAGGGGUCGGGGCUAGGAUAUAAAUAACAUUUUCGAACGAUUCGGUCUAAAACAAAAUUAGAUUUCAAAAAUGCGCAUUUUUUCG
This 21195-nucleotide long non-coding RNA is filed under the name Nicotiana tabacum (common tobacco). RNAcentral's name for it is "long non-coding RNA (NTAB_LNC003161)". Lineage: Eukaryota; Viridiplantae; Streptophyta; Magnoliopsida; Solanales; Solanaceae. The record is from RNAcentral.